RNAcentral lists this ribosomal RNA (406 nucleotides) under uncultured bacterium. RNAcentral describes it as "partial 16S ribosomal RNA". It matches the Rfam family "Bacterial small subunit ribosomal RNA", at positions 30 to 526 of the family's 1533-position model. The record is from RNAcentral.
AUUGAACGCUGGCGGCAGGCCUAACACAUGCAAGUCGAACGAGUGGCGGACGGGUGCGUAAUGUCUGGGACACUGCCCGAUGGAGGGGGAUAACUACUGGAAACGGUAGCUAAUACCGCCUACCUUCGGCUGUGCCCAGAUGGGAUUAGCUAGUGGGUGGGGUAAAGGCUCACCUAGGCGACGAUCCCUACCUGGUCUGAGAGGAUGACAAGCCAAACUGGAACUGAGACACGGUCCAGACUCCUACGGGAGGCAGCAGUGGGGAAUAUUGCACAAUGGGCGAAAGCCUGAUGCAGCCAUGCCGCGUGUAUGAAGAAGGCCUUCGGAUUGUAAAGUACUUUCAGCGGGGAGGCGUUACCAGCAGAAGAAGCACCGGCUAACUCCGUGCCAGCCGCCGCGGUAAUAC